This 253-nucleotide ribosomal RNA is filed under the name uncultured bacterium. Its description in RNAcentral is "partial 16S ribosomal RNA". It matches the Rfam family "Bacterial small subunit ribosomal RNA", at positions 524 to 776 of the family's 1533-position model. The record is from RNAcentral. RNAcentral also lists the same sequence under 1 other name.
UACGAAGGGGGCUAGCGUUGUUCGGAAUUACUGGGCGUAAAGGGCGCGUAGGCGGACGCUUAAGUCAGGGGUGAAAUGCCAAGGCUCAACCUUGGAACUGCCUUUGAUACUGGGUGUCUGGAGAUCGGGAGAGGUGAGUGGAAUUCCGAGUGUAGAGGUGAAAUUCGUAGAUAUUCGGAGGAACACCAGAAGCGAAGGCGGCUCACUGGCCCGAGACUGACGCUGAGGCGCGAAAGCGUGGGGAGCAAACAGG